CGAGUCGGCCGGGCGAUCGCGGCGGGAGUGUCCCGUCGAGGAAAGUCCGGACUCCACAGGGCAGGGUGGUUGCCAACAGCAACCCGGGGUGACCCGCGGGAAAGUGCCACAGAAAACAGACCGCCCGGUGUCGACAGCCGGGUAAGGGUGAAACGGCGGUGUAAGAGACCACCAGCAUCCCGGGUGACCGGGAUGGCUCGGUAAACCCCACCCGGAGCAAGGUCAAGAGGACGUCGUGUUCGGCGUCUGCGCAGGUGUUCGAGGGUGGCCCGCCCGAGACCUGCGGGUAGACCGCUGGAGCCCGCCGGCGACGGCGGGCCAAGAUGGAUGAUCGCCGAAUGGGAGUGCCGCAAGGCCCCCAGGAACAGGAUCCGGCUUACAGGCCGACUCGUCCG
RNAcentral lists this RNase P RNA (395 nucleotides) under Halopolyspora algeriensis. Its description in RNAcentral is "Bacterial RNase P class A". It matches the Rfam family "Bacterial RNase P class A". Rfam says of the family: Ribonuclease P (RNase P) is a ubiquitous endoribonuclease, found in archaea, bacteria and eukarya as well as chloroplasts and mitochondria. Its best characterised activity is the generation of mature 5'-ends of tRNAs by cleaving the 5'-leader elements of precursor-tRNAs. Cellular RNase Ps are ribonucleoproteins. Lineage: Bacteria; Bacillati; Actinomycetota; Actinomycetes. The record is from Rfam by way of RNAcentral.